RNAcentral lists this ribosomal RNA (1329 nucleotides) under Triticum aestivum (bread wheat). RNAcentral describes it as "partial small subunit ribosomal RNA". Lineage: Eukaryota; Viridiplantae; Streptophyta; Magnoliopsida; Poales; Poaceae. The record is from RNAcentral.
AUGGCAGCAGCUGCGACGGCGGCGCCGCCGCCGGCGGUCGCCACCGCGCUGUCCGUGCUCCUCCGCCGCGGCGCGAGCCGAAGCCAUUUCCUCCGGGCCUCCCGCCCCAGGUGCGUCUCCUCGGACGCGGUCGCGGAGCCUGCGCUGGCGCGGAGGGGAGGCCACGCCGGGACCCGCCUGGAGGAGGCCGUGCCGGCCGCGGAGGGGCGGUCGCGGGUCGACGCGUGGAUCUCCGCGCGGCUGGGCGGCGGGGGCGUCAGCCGCGCCCGCGUGCAGGCCAGCAUCCGCGCCGGCCUCGUCGCCGUCAACGGCCGCCCCNNNNNNNNNGUUUCGCACACGGUGAAGGGAGGGGACAAGGUCAGCUGCACCGUGUCGGAGCUGCAGCCGCUGAGGGCAGAGGCGGAGGACAUUCCGCUGGACAUUGUUUACGAGGACGAGCAUCUUCUCGUCGUGAACAAACCGGCUCAUAUGGUUGUUCACCCAGCACCAGGGAAUGCAAAUGGCACCUUAGUCAAUGCUAUACUUCACCACUGCAAGAUUUCAACUUUUACCUGUUUAGCACGCAGUCCAAUUUAUGAUGAGUGCCCUGAAUCUUCAGAUGAUGAUGUUGACGUAUUUGAUGUUGACCAAUUUACUAUUGGUGAAGUAAGUUCAGAGGUCCGCGAAGCUAUUGUGCGCCCUGGUAUUGUGCAUAGGCUUGAUAAGGGCACAAGCGGACUUCUUGUUGUAGCUAAGGAUGAGCAUUCACAUGCUCAAUUAGCAGAGCAAUUCAAGCUGCAUACAAUAAGUAGGGUAUACAUCAGUCUUACUUGUGGUGUACCUAGCCCAAAUUCUGCCAGAAUUGAAGUUCCUAUAUCUCGUGAUCCUAACAACCGGACACGUAUGGUUGCUGCUCCUGGAUCAGGCCACAGAUAUGCAAAGCAUGCUGCUAGUAGGUAUAAAGUAAGAGAGGUCUUUUGUGGUGGUGGAUCUGCACUGGUAGAGUGGAGACUAGAAACAGGGCGCACUCACCAGAUCCGAGCACAUGCAAAAUAUCUAGGGAACCCCUUACUUGGUGAUGAAACAUAUGGAGGUACCAAAAGCAUGGCAUUGUCACUUUUGAGACCCAGAACUCCUUCAAAAUACCAUGGCGAUCUUUCAAAUCUGGUCUCGAAGAUAGACAGGCCAUGUCUCCAUGCUGCAUUGCUUGGAUUCAAGCAUCCUCAUUCAGGAGAGGCACUUGAAUUCUCAUGUCCCCCUCCAGAUGAUUUUACUGAGGUACUUGAUCAACUACGACGUGUUACACCGACGAGUGAUGGCCAAGAUAGCGACAGUGCUGCUCAAGUGUGA